This 460-nucleotide ribosomal RNA is filed under the name uncultured bacterium. RNAcentral describes it as "partial 16S ribosomal RNA". It matches the Rfam family "Bacterial small subunit ribosomal RNA", at positions 338 to 795 of the family's 1533-position model. The record is from RNAcentral.
CCUACGGGGGACAGCAGUGAGGAAUAUUGGUCAAUGGCCGUAAGCCUGAACCAGCCAAGUCGCGUGAGGGAUGACUGCCCUAUGGGUUGUAAACCUCUUUUAUAAGGGAAUAAAGUGUGGUACGUGUACUAUUAUGUCUGUACCUUAUGAAUAAGGAUCGGCUAACUCCGUGCCAGCAGCCGCGGUAAUACGGAGGAUCCGAGCGUUAUCCGGAUUUAUUGGGUUUAAAGGGUGCGUAGGCGGCUUUUUAAGUCAGUUGUGAAAGUUUGUGGCUCAACCAUAGAAUUGCAUUUGAUACUGGGAGCCUUGAGUACGGUUGAGGUAGGCGGAAUGCGUGGUGUAGCGGUGAAAUGCUUAGAUAUCACGCAGAACUCCGAUUGCGAAGGCAGCCUACCAAGCUGCGACUGACGCUGAUGCACGAAAGCGUGGGUAUCAAACAGGAUUAGAUACCCCAGUAGUC